RNAcentral lists this ribosomal RNA (377 nucleotides) under uncultured bacterium. RNAcentral's name for it is "bacterial SSU rRNA". It matches the Rfam family "Bacterial small subunit ribosomal RNA", at positions 521 to 896 of the family's 1533-position model. The record is from RNAcentral.
UAAUACGUAGGGGGCAAGCGUUGUCCGGAAUCAUUGGGCGUAAAGCGCGCGUAGGCGGCCCGAUAAGUCUGCUGUGAAAGUCCAGGGCUCAACCCUGGAAUGCCGGUGGAUACUGUCGGGCUAGAGUUCGGAAGAGGCAAGUGGAAUUCCUGGUGUAGCGGUGGAAUGCGCAGAUAUCAGGAGGAACACCUAUAGCGAAGGCAGCUUGCUGGGACGACACUGACGCUAAGGCGCGAAAGCGUGGGGAGCGAACAGGAUUAGAUACCCUGGUAGUCCACGCCGUAAACGAUGGGCACUAGGUGUGGGGGGUGUCGACUCCCCCCGUGCCGCCGCUAACGCAUUAAGUGCCCCGCCUGGGGAGUACGGCCGCAAGGCUA